UAAGUUCAUUCCCUCAAGUUAAACCCACACUGUACGGUUUCUGGUUUCAUCCUGCUUGUAUGCAAGAACAUAAGACUGCUGAAGACUGUAGUGUUAAUAAAGUGAAUCGAAAAGAUUUAUUCAUCUGAUCGCCUCAAUAUUCUGGGCUUUUAGCUGUGGAUUAGCCGUCCGAAGCUCCGUCCAGGACUGCCAAGCUCACAACUGACACUCUGACAGGAGGUUGUUUAUUUCAGCGGCUCACUCCCUUCCCAACAGGGAGGUUAGACAGCAGUCCGACGUCCCACAAAUGCCAAGGAUGCAACGCAUCACCAAGAAAACACGUUCAAUUUCAACAAGAACUGUUCACGUAAACGGGUAAAGUUGCCGUCUCCUCUGGGAACC
Molecule: long non-coding RNA, 381 nt
Organism: Poeciliopsis prolifica (blackstripe livebearer)
Lineage: Eukaryota; Metazoa; Chordata; Actinopteri; Cyprinodontiformes; Poeciliidae
Exons: 3
Source: RefSeq, a predicted model, not a curated record